This 535-nucleotide ribosomal RNA is filed under the name uncultured bacterium. Its description in RNAcentral is "bacterial SSU rRNA". It matches the Rfam family "Bacterial small subunit ribosomal RNA", at positions 8 to 526 of the family's 1533-position model. The record is from RNAcentral.
AGAGUUUGAUCAUGGCUCAGGACGAACGCUGGCGGCGUGCCUAAUACAUGCAAGUCGAGCGAAUCAAUAGGAGCUUGCUCCUGUUGAUUAGCGGCGGACGGGUGAGUAACACGUGGGCAACCCGCCUGUAAGACUGGGAUAACACCGGGAAACCGGUGCUAAUACCGGAUAAUCCUUUUCCUCUCAUGAAGAAAAGCUGAAAGUCGGUUUCGGCUGACACUUACAGAUGGGCCCGCGGCGCAUUAGCUAGUUGGUGAGGUAACGGCUCACCAAGGCGACGAUGCGUAGCCGACCUGAGAGGGUGAUCGGCCACACUGGGACUGAGACACGGCCCAGACUCCUACGGGAGGCAGCAGUAGGGAAUCUUCCACAAUGGACGAAAGUCUGAUGGAGCAACGCCGCGUGAGCGAUGAAGGCCUUCGGGUCGUAAAGCUCUGUUGUUAGGGAAGAACAAGUACCGGAGUAACUGCCGGUACCUUGACGGUACCUAACCAGAAAGCCACGGCUAACUACGUGCCAGCCGCCGCGGUAAUAC